This 219-nucleotide ribosomal RNA is filed under the name uncultured bacterium. RNAcentral's name for it is "partial 16S ribosomal RNA". It matches the Rfam family "Bacterial small subunit ribosomal RNA", at positions 524 to 742 of the family's 1533-position model. The record is from RNAcentral.
AACGUAGGUGGCAAGCGUUAUCCGGAUUUACUGGGCGUAAAGGGUGUGCAGGCGGGGAUACAAGUGGUGUAUGAAAUCUCCCAGCUUAACUGGGAGCGGUUAUGCCAGACUGUAUUUCUAGAGGACGAGAGGAGGGGGUGGAAUUCCGGGUGUAGUGGUGAAAUGCGUAGAGAUCCGGAGGAACCCCAGAGGCGAAGGCGGCCCCCUGGCUCGUACCUG